This is a long non-coding RNA of Cyphomyrmex costatus, 250 nucleotides long. RefSeq lists it as uncharacterized. Lineage: Eukaryota; Metazoa; Arthropoda; Insecta; Hymenoptera; Formicidae. The transcript is spliced from 3 exons. The record is from RefSeq and is a predicted model, not a curated record.
GUUAACUUCAACUUGCUCUCCUGCAAAAACUACUUAUCAAAUGUAUUGAGCACGGCUGCCUCAUACUUUAUGUUGCUCCGAAGUUUUGGCUCUGAUGAAACUACUAUUAAAUUAUAAUUGAAUGAAACCGUAAUGUGUAAUUAAGAAAUAUAAUACUGAAAAAAAUAAAAAAAAAAUACAACAUUUGAUAACUGUGUGUAAAAACUCCGACAAUAAUAUGCUGCAUCACCGGGCUGAUUCUUAUUCCAAC